GACGAACGCUGGCGGCGUGCCUAAUACAUGCAAGUCGAACGAAGCUGAUUUAACUGGUGCUUGCACCGACUUAAACAACUGAGUGGCGAACGGGUGAGUAACACGUGGGUAACCUGCCCCAAAGCGGGGGAUAACAUUUGGAAACAGAUGCUAAUACCGCAUAACCACAGAAACCACAUGGUUUCUGUGUCAAAGAUGGUUUCGGCUAUCACUUUGGGAGGGACCCGCGGCGUAUUAGCUAGUUGGAAAGGUAAUGGCUUACCAAGGCAAUGAUACGUAGCCGAACUGAGAGGUUGAUCGGCAACAUUGGGACUGAGACACGGCCCAAACUCCUACGGGAGGCAGCAGUAGGGAAUCUUCCACAAUGGACGAAAGUCUGAUGGAGCAACGCCGCGUGAGUGAAGAAGGUUUUCGGAUCGUAAAACUCUGUUGUCAGAGAAGAACGUGUGCGAGAGUAACUGCUCGUGCAGUGACGGUAUCUGGCCAGAAAGCCACGGCUAACUACGUGCCAGCCGCCGCGGUAA
This 524-nucleotide ribosomal RNA is filed under the name uncultured bacterium. Its description in RNAcentral is "partial 16S ribosomal RNA". It matches the Rfam family "Bacterial small subunit ribosomal RNA", at positions 28 to 523 of the family's 1533-position model. The record is from RNAcentral.